UAAAAAAAGGUAAGCUACUAAGAGCGAAUGGUGGAUGCCUUGACUGGUAAAGGCGAUGAAGGACGUACUAGACUGCGAUAAGCUACGGGGAGCUGUCAAGAAGCUUUGAUCCGUAGAUUUCCGAAUGGGGCAACCCAAUGUAUAGAGAUAUACAUUACCUAUAUAGGAGCGAACGAGGGGAAUUGAAACAUCUUAGUACCCUCAGGAAAAGAAAUCAAUAGAGAUUGCGUCAGUAGCGGCGAGCGAAAGCGCAAGAGGGCAAACCCAGUGCUUGCACUGGGGGUUGUAGGACUGCAAUGUGCAAGAGCUGAGUUUAGCAGAACAUUCUGGAAAGUAUAGCCAUAGAGGGUGAUAGUCCCGUAUGCGAAAAACAAAGCUUAGCUAGCAGUAUCCUGAGUAGGGCGGGACACGAGGAAUCCUGUCUGAAUCCGGGUCGACCACGAUCCAACCCUAAAUACUAAUACCAGAUCGAUAGUGCACAAGUACCGUGAGGGAAAGGUGAAAAGAACUGAGGUGAUCAGAGUGAAAUAGAACCUGAAACCAUUUGCUUACAAUCAUUCAGAGCACUAUGUAGCAAUACAGUGUGAUGGACUGCCUUUUGCAUAAUGAGCCUGCGAGUUGUGGUGUCUGGCAAGGUUAAGCAAACGCGAAGCCGUAGCGAAAGCGAGUCUGAAUAGGGCGCUUAGUCAGAUGCUGCAGACCCGAAACGAAGUGAUCUAUCCAUGAGCAAGUUGAAGCUAGUGUAAGAACUAGUGGAGGACUGAACCCAUAGGCGUUGAAAAGCCCCGGGAUGACUUGUGGAUAGGGGUGAAAGGCCAAUCAAACUUCGUGAUAGCUGGUUCUCUCCGAAAUAUAUUUAGGUAUAGCGUUGUGUCGUAAUAUAAGGGGGUAGAGCACUGAAUGGGCUAGGGCAUACACCAAUGUACCAAACCCUAUCAAACUCCGAAUACCUUAUAUGUAAUCACAGCAGUCAGGCGGCGAGUGAUAAAAUCCGUCGUCAAGAGGGAAACAACCCAGACUACCAGCUAAGGUCCCUAAAUCUUACUUAAGUGGAAAACGAUGUGAAGUUACUUAAACAACCAGGAGGUUGGCUUAGAAGCAGCCAUCCUUUAAAGAAAGCGUAAUAGCUCACUGGUCUAGUGAUUUUGCGCGGAAAAUAUAACGGGGCUAAAGUAAGUACCGAAGCUGUAGACUUGCACACAACUUAGAUUAUUUAAGUUUAGAAUAUGAGAAACUAAGUUAUAUGUUUAGUUAUAUUUUUACUGAUUUUUAUAGAGUAAAGAUAGAAAUAAAACUUAGUAAAAUCAGUAAAAAUAUUCUUAGGCUAAAGUUAAGUAGUUUAAGUUGUGUGCAAGUGGUAGGAGAGCGUUCUAUUUGCGUCGAAGGUAUACCGGUAAGGAGUGCUGGAGCGAAUAGAAGUGAGCAUGCAGGCAUGAGUAGCGAUAAUUAAUGUGAGAAUCAUUAACGCCGUAAACCCAAGGUUUCCUACGCGAUGCUCGUCAUCGUAGGGUUAGUCGGGUCCUAAGUCGAGUCCGAAAGGGGUAGACGAUGGCAAAUUGGUUAAUAUUCCAAUACCAACAUUAGUGUGCGAUGGAAGGACGCUUAGGGCUAAGGGGGCUAGCGGAUGGAAGUGCUAGUCUAAGGUUGUAGGAGGUUAUACAGGCAAAUCCGUAUAACAAUACUCCGAGAACUGAAAGGCUUUUUGAAGUCUUCGGAUGGAUAGAAGAACCCCUGAUGCCGUCGAGCCAAGAAAAGUUUCUAAGUUUAGCUAAUGUUGCCCGUACCGUAAACCGACACAGGUGGGUGGGAUGAGUAUUCUAAGGCGCGUGGAAGAACUCUCUUUAAGGAACUCUGCAAAAUAGCACCGUAUCUUCGGUAUAAGGUGUGGUUAGCUUCGUACUAGGAUUUACUCCGAAAGCGAAGAAACUUACAACAAAGAGUCCCUCCCGACUGUUUACCAAAAACACAGCACUCUGCUAACUCGUAAGAGGAUGUAUAGGGUGUGACGCCUGCCCGGUGCUCGAAGGUUAAUUGAUGGGGUUAGCAUUAGCGAAGCUCUUGAUCGAAGCCCGAGUAAACGGCGGCCGUAACUAUAACGGUCCUAAGGUAGCGAAAUUCCUUGUCGGUUAAAUACCGACCUGCAUGAAUGGCGUAACGAGAUGGGAGCUGUCUCAAAGAGGGAUCCAGUGAAAUUGUAGUGGAGGUGAAAAUUCCUCCUACCCGCGGCAAGACGGAAAGACCCCGUGGACCUUUACUACAGCUUGACACUGCUACUUGGAUAAGAAUGUGCAGGAUAGGUGGGAGGCUUUGAGUAUAUGACGCCAGUUGUAUAUGAGCCAUUGUUGAGAUACCACUCUUUCUUAUUUGGGUAGCUAACCAGCUUGAGUUAUCCUCAAGUGGGACAAUGUCUGGUGGGUAGUUUGACUGGGGCGGUCGCCUCCCAAAUAAUAACGGAGGCUUACAAAGGUUGGCUCAGAACGGUUGGAAAUCGUUCGUAGAGUAUAAAGGUAUAAGCCAGCUUAACUGCAA
This 2529-nucleotide ribosomal RNA is filed under the name Campylobacter jejuni. Its description in RNAcentral is "partial 23S ribosomal RNA". It matches the Rfam family "Bacterial large subunit ribosomal RNA", at positions 1 to 2378 of the family's 2925-position model. Lineage: Bacteria; Pseudomonadati; Campylobacterota; Epsilonproteobacteria; Campylobacterales; Campylobacteraceae. The record is from RNAcentral.